CCUUGCGCCCGGGGGUCUGCGGAGCGCGCGGGCGCGGUGGGCGCGGGACUCCCCAGACCCCUGUCGUCGUCUGACUCCUCCGGGCGUGGGCCGGGGGCUGGCGGCCGGGACCCCCGGCUCUGGGCCUCCCAGUUUGGGCCUCAGUUUCCACAUCCACAAACCGGGGAGAUCCCUUUCUGGAGGCCGAGUGAGCGGGCUCCUCCCCAAAGCAAAGAGAACUCCGAGCCUCGUACUCUUCCCGUCUGAAGUCCGUGGGAACACCAGCUCCAACAGAUCAUUCUGCCCUUUCGUGGAAACAAGAUUCCAGGGAUGUUCUUCCAAAGGGAACCUUAGAUUUUGCGGCGGAACCUGUGUCCAGAUAGGAAGCCUACACACGGGUAAGUGAAAACGACUCUCGGAACAAUUCAUCGUAAAGCAAAAUAUCAACAUUCCACGUGAUGGUGCGUGUGAGUUUUGUACGUUCCCACGAGAGGAUGUGUUUGCAAAAGGCGAGCAUUACUUCCUUGGAACCUCGGGCAAUUAGAAUGAGAAGCAGUGAGCGUUGUGCCGACAGUCCCUGGCUCCAGUCCAGGGGAGCACACCUCAUCGGGAGAUCACAUCUGUCACGGAGAUGGGAAAAGGGAAGGUGGUGAACUUCCCACCCCACCCAGCCGUGCGCAGACCUGCCAACAUCCUGUGUGUUCUCCGUUCCUAGCAUGUGCUGGGCAGCGAGGACACCACGAGAUCGCCGCCUUCCCGACACCCUGUUCCCCUAAUCCCCUAAAAUGCCAAGGACUAGUAGAGCACCAAGUGCAUAAAGGGGGAAGCAUAAGGGAGAUAAAAAGACCUCUUCAGUCCCACCCCAGUAGAUAAGCUUGACGGAAACAAGGACUUUAUCCGUCUUGCUCAUGGCUGUAUCCCAGAGCCCGGCACCUAGCCUGACGAGCCAACGAUGGCUCUGGCACCCCUGUAUUCAUUCACCAGGGGCUGAGGAGGGAGGACUACUGUGAGCUGUGCUCCCUGGCUGGACCUCUUACACGGAGCCCUCUGUGGGUGCAGGAAAGUGCCUGUCUUCCAUAGGCGCGUCCACUCCUGACGUGGCCCU
Molecule: non-coding RNA, 1084 nt
Organism: Delphinapterus leucas (beluga whale)
Lineage: Eukaryota; Metazoa; Chordata; Mammalia; Artiodactyla; Monodontidae
Source: RefSeq, a predicted model, not a curated record